UGACCGCCUUUCAAAAGGUCAAGGCCACACGGACGGCCGGGUCAGAUGCCGA
RNAcentral lists this small RNA (52 nucleotides) under Pseudocoprococcus catus. RNAcentral describes it as "Streptococcus sRNA SpF59 (ldcC RNA)". It matches the Rfam family "Streptococcus sRNA SpF59 (ldcC RNA)". RNAcentral also lists the same sequence under 1 other name. Lineage: Bacteria; Bacillati; Bacillota; Clostridia; Lachnospirales; Lachnospiraceae. The record is from RNAcentral.